GAUGAACGCUGGCGGCAGGCUUAACACAUGCAAGUCGAACGGAAACGCCCUGCUAUUGUGGCGUUCUCGGGGGGCGGACGGGUGCGUGAGAGGUGAACACCUUGCCCUUCUCUUUGGGACAAGUUAAUGAAACUGGGGCUAAAACAGUAAUGCAGAACCAGCUCCAUGGAAGGCAUUGGAAAGUGUCGGCUGUUGGGGAUGGACUCGGGGCUGAUGCGUUUGAUGGUGGGGUAGUGGAUUACGAAGGCUUUGAAGGGUAGCCGGCCUGAGAGGGGGACCGGGAACAUUGGGACUGUGAUACGGCACAGACUCGUAAGGGAGGCAGCAGUGGGGAAGAUUGCACAAUGGGCGGAAGCCUGAUGCAGCAACGCGGCGUUCGGGAUGACGGCCUGCUGGUAGAAAACAGCAUUGGGCUGUGACGAAGCGUUUGUGACGGUAAUGUAUGAAGAAGCACCGGCUAACUACGUG
RNAcentral lists this ribosomal RNA (468 nucleotides) under uncultured bacterium. RNAcentral describes it as "partial 16S ribosomal RNA". It matches the Rfam family "Bacterial small subunit ribosomal RNA", at positions 28 to 507 of the family's 1533-position model. The record is from RNAcentral.